This 497-nucleotide ribosomal RNA is filed under the name uncultured bacterium. Its description in RNAcentral is "partial 16S ribosomal RNA". It matches the Rfam family "Bacterial small subunit ribosomal RNA", at positions 28 to 507 of the family's 1533-position model. The record is from RNAcentral.
GAUGAACGCUGGCGGCGUGCCUAAUACAUGCAAGUCGAGCGAACAGACGAUGAGCUUGCUCCUCUGACGUUAGCGGCGGACGGGUGAGUAACACGUGUAUAACCUACCUAUAAGACUGGGAUAACCUCGGGAAACCGGAGCUAAUACCGGAUAAUAUAUUGAACCGCAUGGUUCAAUAGUGAAAGACGGUUUUGCUGUCACUUAUCGAUGGAUCCGCGCCGCAUUAUCUAGUUGGUAAGGUAACGGCUUACCAAGGCAACGAUGCGUAGGCGACCUGAGAGGGUGGUCGGCCGCACUGGAACUGAGACGCGGUCCAGACUACUGCGGGAGGCAGCAGUAGGGAAUCUUCCGCAAUGGGCGAAAGCCUUGCGGAGCGACGCCGCGUGAGUGAUGAAGGUCUUCGGAUCGUAAAACUCUGUUAUUAGGGAAGAACAAAUGUGUAAGUAACUAUGCACGGCUUGACGGUACCUAAUCAGAAAGCCACGGCUAACUACGUG